UAUUAUUUAAAAUGUAAUAAUAAAUAUUUAAGUAGUAAUAGUUAUGUUCUUGAAACUUAAAAAAUUUGGCGGUAUUUUAGUCUAUCCAGAGGAACUUGUUUUGUAAUCGAUAAUCCACGAUGGACCUUUCUUAAAUUUGUAAUCAGUUUAUAUACCGUCGUUAUCAGAAUAUUUUAUAAGAAUAAUAAUAUUCAAUAAUUUUAAUUAAAAUUUAUAUCAGAUCAAGGUGUAGCUUAUAUUUAAGUAAUAAUGGGUUACAAUAAAAAUAUUUAUACGGAUAAAAUUAUGAAAAAAUUUUUAAAGGUGGAUUUGGUAGUAAAAUUAUAAAGAUUGAUAAUUUGAUUUUAGCUCUAAAAUAUGUACACAUCGCCCGUCACUCUUAUUAUUAAGGUAAGAUAAGUCGUAACAUAGUAGAUGUACUGGAAAGUGUAUCUAGAAUGA
This 441-nucleotide ribosomal RNA is filed under the name Drosophila pullipes. Its description in RNAcentral is "partial 12S ribosomal RNA". Lineage: Eukaryota; Metazoa; Arthropoda; Insecta; Diptera; Drosophilidae. The record is from RNAcentral.